UGCACAGGAGCUGAAGCAGGAUGCAGCCUGUUGCUUUUACAGUAUAAUACUUGUAAUAAAAGUACAGUAACAGUAAUUAGUGACUGAGCAGCCCGGAGCGUUUCUCUUGAUUUCUUUAGUCAGGGUAAAUUCAUUCACCUGCACAGGUUAGCUAAACGAACCCUGACAGCCGAGUGCUCAUCUUAGCUAGCUAGGUCUCAGGACCGAGCUAAGGACGGUAGUUACGGAGUAGCUUACAAACACGUUUAACUUACCGAAAAAGUGCAGCGGGGCCUCGGGUCCUUCUGUCGGGUAGUCCAGUUUACUGAAGAACACCUCAGGCUGUCAGGUUAAAACACUCGGUCGUGUCUUCGUAGCGUAAACGCUGGCCCUCCUCUCAGAGCCUACGCUCUAUCUGCUAUUCCCGAACAGAGAUACGCAAGUUUCUCCGUGACUGCAGCUGCCAGUCAAAGCUGCUAUGAUGACGUUUCACCCCAAUUUAACAUCACCGCGGUAGGAAUUAGAAUCAAACUUAUGGGAGAGGAGACCCCUUGGACAUCAAUCAGCAUGAUGAGAACUAUUGAUAACAAAAGAAAGAA
Haplochromis burtoni (Burton's mouthbrooder) is the source of this 578-nucleotide long non-coding RNA. RefSeq lists it as uncharacterized. The transcript has 2 exons. The record is from RefSeq and is a predicted model, not a curated record. NCBI's taxonomy places the organism in Eukaryota, Metazoa, Chordata, Actinopteri, Cichliformes, Cichlidae.